CACGUAGGGUGCGAGCGUUGUCCGGAAUUAUUGGGCGUAAAGAGCUCGUAGGCGGUCCGUCACGUCGGAUGUGAAAUUCCAGGGCUCAACCCUGGACCUGCAUUCGAUACGGGCGGACUAGAGUUCGGUAGGGGAGAUUGGAAUUCCUGGUGUAGCGGUGGAAUGCGCAGAUAUCAGGAGGAACACCGAUGGCGAAGGCAGAUCUCUGGGCCGUAACUGACGCUGAGGAGCGAAAGCGUGGGGAGCGAACAGG
RNAcentral lists this ribosomal RNA (253 nucleotides) under uncultured bacterium. RNAcentral's name for it is "partial 16S ribosomal RNA". It matches the Rfam family "Bacterial small subunit ribosomal RNA", at positions 524 to 776 of the family's 1533-position model. The record is from RNAcentral.